GGGGCUGUAGCUCAGUUGGGAGAGCGCAUGAAUGGCAUUCAUGAGGCCGAGGGUUCGACCCCCUUCAGCUCCACCA
This 76-nucleotide transfer RNA is filed under the name Deltaproteobacteria bacterium. RNAcentral's name for it is "tRNA-Ala". It matches the Rfam family "tRNA". From Rfam's summary of the family: Transfer RNA (tRNA) molecules are approximately 80 nucleotides in length. Their secondary structure includes four short double-helical elements and three loops (D, anti-codon, and T loops). The record is from RNAcentral. Lineage: Bacteria; Pseudomonadati; Myxococcota; Myxococcia. RNAcentral also lists the same sequence under 1 other name.